Papaver somniferum (opium poppy) is the source of this 1825-nucleotide long non-coding RNA. RefSeq lists it as uncharacterized. The record is from RefSeq and is a predicted model, not a curated record. Lineage: Eukaryota; Viridiplantae; Streptophyta; Magnoliopsida; Ranunculales; Papaveraceae. The transcript has 2 exons.
UCGAAGAGAAGCUCUUAUUUUCUCUUUUCCUUUCUCUCUCCUCUUCUCUCCUCUUCUCUCCUCUGCUUCUUUCGUUCUUCUUCAUCUCGAGUUUCUCUGAGAAUUUGAGUAAGAAUUGGUUAAUGAAAUCUUUUGUUGAUGCUAAUAGAUGUCGUAGAAGAUAGUGCGGUCGCUGGUUUUGAAGCAGGACAGUUAGGGUUGAAUCUGAGAAGAUCGAUUUAAGGUUUCGUCGGAUUUUGAUGUUCUUAUGGAAUUGAGAUGUAAAUCGAGUUGUUGUUAGAUGAAGAAUAAAAGGGUUGUAGUUGAAUCGGUGUUCUGAGGCUUAUUCGAUAAAGUGUUGAGGAAUUAGGGCUUCUCAAGAUGAAUUGGUAAUUCGAUUAGAAAUGAAUAAUAAGAAUUAGGCAGUGGCUUUAUCGAUUGUUGAACAUGGUGAAGUUAAUUGGAUGUUCACAUAGCCGUUCAUGAGAAAUUGAAGAGUUAGGGUUUCAAGGGAAGAAUUCAGAAGAAUAAUUAGAAGAUGGAAUUGAGAGUUUAAAUGGAAGAUUUAAGUUGGGUUUGUUAGGAAGUAGGGUUUCCAGUGUUGGUAUUCCUCAGAUUGGUUAGAGGAAGAGGGUUCUGAGAAGAAUGGUAGUUGCAGUUGAAGUUAGACUGACAACAGGUAAAGCUGAACUCGUAAUGAGUUUCAGUAAUAAAAAUUAAGUUAUAGCUUGGUUUAAUUGCAAAGUUUAUAUGAGUUUGAUGAUUUUUAAUAAGUCAUAAGUUAGAUCUGAUUUUGAUUAAAUUGUAUUGAUAUGAAAUAUAGAGGACGGAUGUUAUUUGAGUUGAGAUGAUGUUGAUAUGGAAGAUGCUGGUAGUGAUAUUAUAUUUGCAAUUGUGGUUUAUGUUGUGUGAAUUAUAGGGGAAAAAUGACAAUUUUACCAUGGGAUGGUGGAGUUGGUGUUUAGUGUAGUGAUGGUUUGUUCAAUACAGUGCUUUGGAGGGAGAAAUCAUGGUGUUGAAAGAAUGAAGUUGUGUUCGAGUCUGUAUGAAUUGAUGAAGGUGUUGAAUUAGUGAAUUUUAUAUUGAAUAAGAUGCUGUAAUGUUGGCGAUUUUAGAAAUAUAGAUAAUGACUCAGUAACGGCUCUGCAGUGUUAUGUUGUGCUUGAAUUGAAUCUUAGAUGAAUGUAUAAAAGGUGGCAAAAGGAAUGGAGAUUGUAGAUACUGCUAAUGUUGAACUGUGCACACUAGUGGAAGGCGAGGCGUUGUAACUGAGGUUGAUGAUGAAACUGGAAUCAAGGUUGUGAUUUGAAUUGAGUGGUUUCAGUUCUUAUAAGUUGGAUUUACAUUGAGAAUGGUGUGUACGGAGAAGGAUUGGGGUUGUGCUUGCUGUGUAUGAUGAUGUUGGCUACAUGAAGCUCUGUUGUUUUGUGGUGAACUGCAAAAGGUAAUGGGUGUGCAGUGUUAUUUGAAUGUUGAUUGUGAAGGUGGACUUUAAUAAGUACAGUGAUCUUUCAGCUGAGGGUGAAUUCAGUGUGUUUGAGUGGAGAUGAUCUGAGUGUUGCUUGUUACUACUUUUGGAAGUUAGUCUAUUAACAACGAUCGAUUCAAAGGAUGAACCAGUGGAUCGUGGAUCUCGAGGUAGGUGUGGCUUGUCAUAAAAAGAGGUGGGAAUACAUUUGACUCUGUUGUAACCAUUAUUAUUGCUUUUGCAAAAGUUUAUGCUUAACAAACCCAUGCAUUGUCUGUCCGAGAAUUCCAUGCUUUGUUUAAAUUGUAUUAUGAUAAUUCUGUUGAUUCUGUGAAUCUUUCAACGAUUUGGAAAGGACUUGUAAUGUUUUGUUUGUCA